GGGUCAAACCUGCUGAGAACUUCGGCUGUGGGUAUUUUAUACCCAACAUUAAGUAUAAAUAUUUAACUUGAAUCUUUACUCUCUAUAGUUUAUUGUGUCAGCUUCCAACCUUGUAGCUCGAAUCUUAGAUAUCAACCAUUUAAUCAAAAUCAAUUACAUAGACCACCUUAGAAACCUAAGAAUCAUUCUUAGCUUUGAAAAAUUAAACCAUGUUCUUGACCAGGAUAUCCUUGUGUUACCAGCUCAUCUAAUCUAAAGUCAACGAGCUAUACUUAUAAGUCGAUGGAUAAUGACAAUAAGAGUAGGUGCCA
Molecule: long non-coding RNA, 311 nt
Filed under: Elaeis guineensis (African oil palm)
Lineage: Eukaryota; Viridiplantae; Streptophyta; Magnoliopsida; Arecales; Arecaceae
Description: long non-coding RNA (EGUI_LNC054727)
Source: RNAcentral